ACGCCUGUAGAAGACAAGCGCCUUCCUCGACCUGCAAAAAUUAAGCACCAAACCAGCAGCAGCACUGUUCCAGGUGGCGAGAGGAUGUUCCAAAGUUAGAAUUGCUAUUGUGGGAAAAAGUUUGAUCUGAAGCACCCGUUUGAAGUCUUACCCAGUUACCCGAGAUAUCACCUCGGCACUUUCGUUCAAAUAUUUCUCCUCACCCAGCAGUACUUCAGGUCAGCACGACCUCGUAGGAAUCUGGUUUUCGGAACGCCUGUAGGAGACAAGCGCCUUCCUCGACCUGCCAAAGUUAAGCACCAAACCAGCAGCAGCACUGUUCCAGGUGGCGAGAGGAUGUUCCAAAGUUAGAAUUGCUAUUGUGGAAAAAAGUUUGUUCUGAAGCAUCCAUUUGAAGUCUUACCCAGUUACCCGAGAUAUCAACUCGGCACUUUCGUUCAAAUAUUUCUCCUCACCCAGCAGUACUUCAGGUCGCCUGUAAGCGCCUUCUUCAGGAGCCAUAUGAAUUAGCCUUCACCUGGAUAUGACAGGAGACGAACAGCCUUGACCCGUCACAGGAAGUAGUGUUUACCAUAAUUCGGGUGAGAAGUUACCUAAUUCGCAACAAAUUUUUAAAAAAUUUUUUAACAUCCAUUAAUACAAGGUCCGGCUAUUAAUUUCCAGGACUCAUGGAAUAACUCAGAAGAAAAUAAAAUUAAACACAUAGCCAUUUAAUAUUAUUUGAAGUAAUCCCCACCAGCCGUAAUGCACGUCUGUGCUCGGCUGUACAAAUUUCGGAAAGAAGUUUUAAAGUCCUCUUUUGGAAUGCUCUUUAAUAGUGGCGUAACAAUCUUCUUGAUGGCUUCGACAUCUUUAAAUCUUGUCCCCUUCAGCAAAUUUUUCAGCUUAGAAAACAGUCUGCGGGUGCUAGGUCUUGAGAGUAUGGUGGAUGCUGCAUCUCAACGACACCAUGCAGGGCUAAGAAUCGCCUUCCAGGUAGUGCAAUGUUCGGAAGCGAACUUUUUCAAUUGCUUCCGGCGUGCGUAACAACUGCGACCGACUUGUGUGUGGAUCAUCUUCCACGCUUUCGCUCUGUCCUGAAAUCGUUUAAACCAUUCAAAAGUUCUUGAGCGACAUGAUGCUUCCGCGCCGUAAACUUGUUUUAACAAUUUGUAGGUUUCCGCAGCUGUCUUGCCCAAUUUGAAGCAACAUUUAAUGUUUAUUCUUGCUCCAUUUUCACUUCGACAACAGGAAUUUAAGAGCUACGUUUUAAUGCGCCUUUCCACGAGAACCACUUACUUCAGUAUGGUGCCGAUUGCGCUGCACGUGCGCAAGAAAACACUGCUGGCAGAGUUUAGUGCUUUGUGGAAAUUGCUUAGUAAGCAUAAUGAAAAAGUCAACUUUCAACUAACAAGAAAAUUUAUUAAGCAGGAAAAGUCAUAACUUAACUUAAACAUCAUAAAGGAAAACAAUCCUCUCCAUAACAUGAGGUAACGAAUUCAAUAACAUACAGUCAUGAAAAUCAAACGAAACAAAACUCCAAAUCCAAUCUUGAUUUGUUAUAUAUAUACACGAAGUAACACUUGCAUAAUGAGGGUACUUACACACUCAAAAUUAAUACUAUGCAAAUUCUGUCUUUGAAUUAUUUUUAAAUGUUCGAACUCCCUCUUUCAGAGGUUUUUCGAACUCUUGAUCUCUUACUCGAACCUUGUUCAUUGAAAUUCAUAGUCUGACAAACACUCUUCAAUAUGCAAUCAUUAGCGCCAUCUUCCGGCUUUUCGUUCUCCUACAGUUACGUCAGUCCUGGAAAUUAAUAGCCGGACCUUGUGUUUGAUUUGUUUUUUUCUGUAAUUUAUUGUAGAUUAAUAUUCA
Non-coding RNA from Parasteatoda tepidariorum (common house spider), 1851 nucleotides. The record is from RefSeq and is a predicted model, not a curated record. NCBI's taxonomy places the organism in Eukaryota, Metazoa, Arthropoda, Arachnida, Araneae, Theridiidae.